This 1400-nucleotide ribosomal RNA is filed under the name uncultured bacterium. RNAcentral's name for it is "bacterial SSU rRNA". It matches the Rfam family "Bacterial small subunit ribosomal RNA", at positions 1 to 1356 of the family's 1533-position model. The record is from RNAcentral.
UAGAGUUUGAUCCUGGCUCAGGAUGAACGCUGGCGGCGUGCCUAACACAUGCAAGUCGAACGAGAAGCUAACCUCUGAUUCCUUCGGGAUGAUGAGGUUAGCAGAAAGUGGCGAACGGGUGAGUAACGCGUGGGUAAUCUACCCUGUUUAGUGGGGGAUAACCCUCCGAAAGGAGGGCUAAUACCGCAUAAGGUCUUCUCCUCAUUAAGAGAAGAAGAUUAAAGAUGGCCUCUAUACUAUGCUAUCGCUUCAGGAUGAGCCUGCGUCCUAUUAGUUAGUUGGUGGGGUAAUGGCCUACCAAGACCACAAUGGGUAGCCGGUCUGAGAGGAUGUACGGCCACACUGGGACUGAGAUACGGCCCAGACUCCUACGGGAGGCAGCAGUGGGGAAUAUUGCGCAAUGGGGGAAACCCUGACGCAGCGACGCCGCGUGGAUGAUGAAGGCCUUUGGGUUGUAAAAUCCUGUUCUGGGGGAAGAAACCUUAAGGGUCCAAUAAACCCUUAAGCUGACCGUACCCCAAGAGAAAGCUCCGGCUAAUUAUGUGCCAGCAGCCGCGGUAAUACAUAAGGAGCAAGCGUUAUCCGGAAUUAUGGGGCUUAAAGAGCCCGUAGGCGGUCUAAAAAGUCAGGUGUGAAAUUAUCAGGCUCAACCUGAUAAGGUCAUCUGAAACUUUAAGACUUGAGGAUAGAAGAGGAAAGUGGAAUUCCCGGUGUAGCGGUGAAAUGCGUUAAUAUCGGGAGGAAACACCAGUGGCGAAGGCGGCUUUCUGGUUCUAUCUCUGACGCUGAGGAGCGAAAGCUAGGGGAGAAAACGGGAUUAGAUACCCCGGUAGUCCUAGCUGUAAACGAUGGAUACUAGGUGUGGGAGGUAUCGACCCCUUCUGUGCCGCAGCUAACGCAUUAAGUAUCCCGCCUGGGGAGUACGGUCGCAAGGCUGAAACUCAAAGGAAUUGACGGGGGCCCGCACAAGCGGUGGAGCAUGUGGUUUAAUUCGACGCAACGCGAAGAACCUUACCGGGACUUGACAUUAUCUUGCCCGUCUAAGAAAUUAGAUCUUCUUCCUUACGGAAGACAGGAUAACAGGUGGUGCAUGGUUGUCGUCAGCUCGUGUCGUGAGAUGUGGGUUAAGUCCCACAACGAGCGCAACCCUUAUGCUUAGUUGCUAACUUGUUUUACAAGUGCACUCUAGGCAGACUGCCGCAGAUAAUGCGGAGGAAGGUGGGGAUGACGUCAAAUCAUAUGCCCCUACGUCCCGGGCUACACACGUGCUACAAUGGCCUGUACAGAGGGUAGCGAAAGAGCGAUCUUAAGCCAAUCCCAAAAAGCAGGCCCCAGUUCGGAUUGGAGGCUGCAACUCGCCUCCAGAAGUAGGAAUCGCAUAGUAAUCGCGGAUCAGCAUG